GUCUCCUCUGUGGAGUCUUCACUGAAAACCUCUAUCUUUGGAUACAGGAGCAAUUGGUGCCAAUUACAUGUUGACUAACCGCACACCAUUGACAACUGAACAAAGAAGCAUAUCCAGCUUUCAGCAGAUUUGAGGUCCAGUUGUGUACAAAUCCAGCUCCUCAGGCUUUUCAAGUUACAGACCAGAGGGAUGCAGAGAUUGAAACAUUUUACCUUGCAUGUCCGAGUUUGACUGUCAGGAUCUGAUGGCAUUUUGUAAGAGAGGUAUCAAUGUUCUCAAGCAGUUUGUCUUCUGCAGCUUAUGAGUUUGGAUUUUCUGUUCAAGUCGGCAUGUGCAUGACCUCAGCAUCAGUGAUAUGGCAAUAAGAUCAGCCUUGUUGACUAGAUCUGCAUUUUUUUGUUGAUUACUAUGGAUGUUACGUUUAGAUACAUAAUUUUAAAGUAGGAUGCAUGUGAAAGUUUGUGCUAUAAAACAAAUCACUUUCUCUCGGUCCCCUUCAAGCACAUUUCUGUGCAUCCCUAAAGAAAGUUGAGAGUAUUCACAUGCUCCCAUUUCUCCUUCUCUGACUAGAGUACUGAAGUACCACAGCUACCCCCCUAAAAACCAACAAAGCAAAAAAUAAUAAACAAGCACAAUGUCCAAUCUACCUAUCAACUUUAUAUUGUUUUAAUCAAAUCAAUAACUUGUGUUUUUUUUUUUAACCUGAAAAUCUAAGACUAAUGUAAUUUACAGUAUGCUAAUUCAUUUUAUUUUUUGCUGCUCCUGUCAUUUGACUGGGUUUCAGGGUAACAACUGCAAAAGGACUUUUCUUACUCUAUUUCUAUAUGUAUGCUCUGCCACGACCUAUGUGUCCUUGGGGAAGAGAAAUGUGGGUGAUAUUAAAAAAAAAAAAGGUUGAAAUCAGUUGGAAAAAGUUUGAAAAGGAAGCUUCCACUUUCAGAAUGAAUCUUGAGACAUGUAAACAAGGUAAAUCCUUCAGUGGAUUGCCUGUGAAGACACAGGCAAAGUCUUCAAAAUACUGUCUGCAGUACCAUUUGGUGACCAUUUGGUACAUAGAUGAUUCUAGUUAAUGGACAUGAUGAGACUUAAUCAUUGACAAAUGAAUCAAAUGGAAUACAAAGCCUCAUUCAUUAAUGAACAAAUAAAAUGGAAUGCUAAGACUCAUUCUGUUAAUAUAAAAUAAGAAAAGGGAUUUCUGAUAACAUGGGAAAUGCUUUUAAUGAGCACUGAAACCACUUUGGAAUCUUGACUUUCUGUUUAUCAUCCAGGGUAACCCUAAUGGUCUCUGGUGCUCAGGUACUUCCACUGUGGUGUGAAAUGACAGUUUCCAUGUUGUGAUCAGCUAAGAUGCUUCUGCUGGAAGUUCUCUGAAAGUUGUCUCUUUUGCAGAUUGUCAGACAUCUGCAUGUUUAUUGAAGUUCAGACUCUUGUCUGAACCCCCCAUGAUUCAGGAGGACACAGUCAGUGACCUACUACUCCAGCUGGCCUGUCAUAAGUCCAUGGGGCCAGAUGACAUUCACAGAAUCACAGAAU
Lagopus muta (rock ptarmigan) is the source of this 1533-nucleotide long non-coding RNA. RefSeq lists it as uncharacterized. Lineage: Eukaryota; Metazoa; Chordata; Aves; Galliformes; Phasianidae. The record is from RefSeq and is a predicted model, not a curated record. The transcript is spliced from 3 exons.